CCUACACAUGCAAGUCGAACGGUAACAGGAAGCAGCUUGCUGCUUCGCUGACGAGUGGCGGACGGGUGAGUAAUGUCUGGGAAACUGCCUGAUGGAGGGGGAUAACUACUGGAAACGGUAGCUAAUACCGCAUAACGUCGCAAGACCAAAGAGGGGGACCUUCGGGCCUCUUGCCAUCGGAUGUGCCCAGAUGGGAUUAGCUAGUAGGUGGGGUAACGGCUCACCUAGGCGACGAUCCCUAGCUGGUCUGAGAGGAUGACCAGCCACACUGGAACUGAGACACGGUCCAGACUCCUACGGGAGGCAGCAGUGGGGAAUAUUGCACAAUGGGCGCAAGCCUGAUGCAGCCAUGCCGCGUGUAUGAAGAAGGCCUUCGGGUUGUAAAGUACUUUCAGCGGGGAGGAAGGCGAUGAGGUUAAUAACCUUGUCGAUUGACGUUACCCGCAGAAGAAGCACCGGCUAACUCCGUGCCAGCAGCCGCGGUAAUACGGAGGGUGCAAGCGUUAAUCGGAAUUACUGGGCGUAAAGCGCACGCAGGCGGUCUGUCAAGUCGGAUGUGAAAUCCCCGGGCUCAACCUGGGAACUGCAUUCGAAACUGGCAG
This 602-nucleotide ribosomal RNA is filed under the name Enterobacter cloacae. RNAcentral's name for it is "bacterial SSU rRNA". It matches the Rfam family "Bacterial small subunit ribosomal RNA", at positions 48 to 639 of the family's 1533-position model. The record is from RNAcentral. Lineage: Bacteria; Pseudomonadati; Pseudomonadota; Gammaproteobacteria; Enterobacterales; Enterobacteriaceae.